Molecule: ribosomal RNA, 868 nt
Filed under: uncultured archaeon
Lineage: Archaea
Description: bacterial SSU rRNA
Rfam family: Archaeal small subunit ribosomal RNA
Source: RNAcentral
CUGCUAUCGGAUUGAUACUAAGCCAUGCGAGUCAUUGUAGCAAUACAAGGCAUACGGCUCAGUAACGCGUAGUCAACCUAACCUAUGGACGGGAAUAACCUCGGGAAACUGAGAAUAAUGCCCGAUAGAACAUUAUGCCUGGAAUGGUUUAUGUUCCAAAUGAUUUAUCGCCGUAGGAUGGGACUGCGGCCUAUCAGUUUGUUGGUGAGGUAAUGGCCCACCAAGACUAUUACAGGUACGGGCUCUGAGAGGAGUAGCCCGGAGAUGGGUACUGAGACACGGACCCAGGCCCUAUGGGGCGCAGCAGGCGAGAAAACUUUGCAAUGUGCGAAAGCACGACAAGGUUAAUCCGAGUGGUUUCUGCUAAAGGAACCUUUUGUCAGUCCUAGAAACACUGAUGAAUAAGGGGUGGGCAAGUUCUGGUGUCAGCCGCCGCGGUAAAACCAGCACCUCAAGUGGUCAGGAUGAUUAUUGGGCCUAAAGCAUCCGUAGCCGGCUCUGUAAGUUUUCGGUUAAAUCUGUACGCUCAAACGUACAGGCUGCCGGGAAUACUGCAAAGCUAGGGAGUGGGAGAGGUAGACGGUACUCGGUAGGAAGGGGUAAAAUCCUUUGAUCUAUUGAUGACCACCUGUGGCGAAGGCGGUCUACCAGAACACGUCCGACGGUGAGGGAUGAAAGCUGGGGGAGCAAACCGGAUUAGAUACCCGGGUAGUCCCAGCUGUAAACCAUGCAAACUCAGUGAUGCAUUGGCUUGUGGCCAAUGCAGUGCUGCAGGGAAGCCGUUAAGUUUGCCGCCUGGGAAGUACGUACGCAAGUAUGAAACUUAAAGGAAUUGGCGGGGGAGCACCACAAGGGGUGAAGCCUGCGG